RNAcentral lists this ribosomal RNA (471 nucleotides) under uncultured bacterium. RNAcentral's name for it is "partial 16S ribosomal RNA". It matches the Rfam family "Bacterial small subunit ribosomal RNA", at positions 28 to 507 of the family's 1533-position model. The record is from RNAcentral.
GACGAACGCUGGCGGCGUUCUUAACACAUGCAAGUCGAACGAUGAAGCCUAGCUUGCUAGGUGGAUUAGUGGCGAACGGGUGAGUAAUACGUGAGUAACCUACCUUUAACUCUGGGAUAAGCCUGGGAAACUGGGUCUAAUACCGGAUACGACCAAUCUCCGCAUGGGGUGUUGGUGGAAAGCGUUAUGUAGUGGUUAUAGAUGGGCUCACGGCCUAUCAGCUUGUUGGUGAGGUAACGGCUCACCAAGGCGACGACGGGUAGCCGGCCUGAGAGGGUGACCGGCCACACUGGGACUGAGACACGGCCCAGACUCCUACGGGAGGCAGCAGUGGGGAAUAUUGCACAAUGGGCGCAAGCCUGAUGCAGCGACGCCGCGUGAGGGAUGACGGCCUUCGGGUUGUAAACCUCUGUUAGCAGGGAAGAAGAGAGAUUGACGGUACCUGCAGAGAAAGCGCCGGCUAACUACGUG